CAAGAUGUAGCUUAAACCCAAAGCAUUCAGCUUACACCUGAAAAAUGUCCACAACUGAACCACCUUGA
This 68-nucleotide transfer RNA is filed under the name Paleosuchus palpebrosus (Cuvier's dwarf caiman). RNAcentral's name for it is "tRNA-Val". Lineage: Eukaryota; Metazoa; Chordata; Crocodylia; Alligatoridae. The record is from RNAcentral.